CAAUAGCGUAUAUUAAAGUUGUUGCGGUUAAAAAAGCUCGUAGUUGGAUUUCUGCCGAAGACGACCGGUCCGCCCUCUGGGUGAGUAUCUGGCUCGGCUUGGGCAUCUUCUUGGAGAACGUAGCUGCACUUGACUGUGUGGUGCGGUAUCCAGGACUUUUACUUUGAGGAAAUUAGAGUGUUUCAAGCAGGCAUCCGCCUUGAAUACAUUAGCAUGGAAUAAUAAGAUAGGACCUCGGUUCUAUUUUGUUGGUUUCUAGAGCUGAGGUAAUGAUUAAUAGGGAUAGUUGGGGGCAUUCGUAUUUAACUGUCAGCGGUGAAAUUCUUGGAUUUGUUAAAGACGGACUAUCUGCGAAAGUCAUUUGCCAAGGAUGUUUUCAUUGGAU
This 385-nucleotide ribosomal RNA is filed under the name uncultured eukaryote. Its description in RNAcentral is "SSU rRNA". It matches the Rfam family "Eukaryotic small subunit ribosomal RNA", at positions 592 to 977 of the family's 1831-position model. The record is from RNAcentral.